AUGAACGCUAGCUACAGGCUUAACACAUGCAAGUCGAGGGUACAUGAUUGGAGCUUGCUCCGAUUGAUGACGACCGGCGCACGGGUGAGUAACGCGUAUCCAACCUGCCCCAUGCUCAGGGAUAACCUUCCGAAAGGGAGCCUAAUACCUGAUGUUGUGCGACGAUGGCAUCAGAAUUGCACUAAAGAUUCAUCGGCAUGGGAUGGGGAUGCGUCUGAUUAGCUUGUUGGCGGGUAACGGCCCACCAAGGCUACGAUCAGUAGGGGUUCUGAGAGGAAGGUCCCCCACACUGGUACUGAGACACGGACCAGACUCCUACGGGAGGCAGCAGUGAGGAAUAUUGGUCAAUGGGCGGGAGCCUGAACCAGCCAAGUAGCGUGCAGGAAGACGGCCCUACGGGUUGUAAACUGCUUUUAUGAGGGGAUAAAGUGGGCUACGUGUAGCUUAUUGCAGGUACCUCAUGAAUAAGGACCGGCUAAUUCCGUGCCAGCAGCCGC
This 497-nucleotide ribosomal RNA is filed under the name uncultured bacterium. RNAcentral describes it as "bacterial SSU rRNA". It matches the Rfam family "Bacterial small subunit ribosomal RNA", at positions 29 to 518 of the family's 1533-position model. The record is from RNAcentral.